This 400-nucleotide long non-coding RNA is filed under the name Carica papaya (papaya). Its description in RNAcentral is "long non-coding RNA (CPAP_LNC005658)". The record is from RNAcentral. Lineage: Eukaryota; Viridiplantae; Streptophyta; Magnoliopsida; Brassicales; Caricaceae.
AUGAUUUUAAAUGCAUGUAUUACUGUAUUACUUGACCACUGUGUGAUUUUGGGAUUUAAGAUAUGAUUGUAUUACCAGGUGCAUGUUCAUUGUUUAUGUGAUUGUGUUUAAUUUGGUAACAGAGAUUAAGGAUAAACAGGAAAGGGAUGUGAUCUAAUAAAUAGAUAAGGUGACAGCCUCACUAGAUAUCUUGGGAGAUGGUGGACGGACCGAGUUCAUAGGGAACCCUACUGUGAAUGUUGUCUCUUACCGGACGGGGUAUGGAGACUUGGUCUUUUGGCGCUCAUACCGGACAAGGUAUGGGACGGCCCUGGAAUUAAGAUUGUUAAGAAAAAGGGUUCACGUGUAGUGGGGACACCCCUAUGGAUCCCCAUAGAUACUAGUAGGUUGGUGAAACAAG